Molecule: long non-coding RNA, 1434 nt
Organism: Alligator mississippiensis (American alligator)
Lineage: Eukaryota; Metazoa; Chordata; Crocodylia; Alligatoridae
Exons: 4
Source: RefSeq, a predicted model, not a curated record
GCUCCUUCAAAGGCCUUCAUUGCUUGCAUCUUGUAUAAUUUAAAGGCCUAAACAUGCCUUCAGUGCUAAGGCAGCAAUGGAGAGCAAUGGGUGUCUUUUAGCUGAUCAGCUUUACUUUCAUACCUGUAAAGCUUCUGUGCUGCAGCCUGUAUAACUAGGUCAGCCACACUCAAUUCAUUAAGCAGGACCAGCUGAUCCCCAGCCUCUUCCCCCUGAUUGGUUCUAGGGCUGCUUUUAAGAAACUUCUGUAGCAUCUAGGCCCUGCUGUGCAACAUGCUGACUUCAGUCCUUGAGUAGCUUCUGCCUUGGUGACUUCCCUGGUACCCCUUACUGCGCACCCAGCCUUUCAGACUGGUUUGUUUCCUGACCUCUGAUUCUGAUAUAUCCUCUGUUGUUCUGAACUGUGGCUUAUCUCUACAGCCCCCAGGCUAUAUCUGAUUCAUAAAGCAAAACCUUGCAACUUUGAGCAUCUUGAUGCAUCCAGUGUUUCAAGGAAAGUGAUUUCUGCACCUGAGUUAAGAUUCCAUACGGGAGGAAAACUGAGUAAGGCCUUAUCCCAAGCAGCUCUGCCUCUCCAUCUCCAAUCAACCUCCAUCUGUACCAGGCACCCCUAGAAACAACAAUUGAACCUGAAGUUCAAUUAAAAAGGAUACAUUAAAUAUUUGGCCUUCAUACAUAAGGGUCCAGGGUGAUUAGCAGCUGAAGCUUCUUGAAAGGAUCAGCAGGUGAUUAAGAUGCUUUGAUGUAACUGCAGAAGUCUGUUGCUGUGGACCUCCUGUAUAACAGUCUCUGCACCCAACUUCCACAGGAUCUAGGUGCCCAGAGGUACAGACGGGUACCUAGUGGGAUUUGCAAAAAUGCCUAGGAUGCUUAGGCAAGAAGUUUCAUACAUUUAAUUAGAGUUAAAUGAAUAACUUUUUUAGAUGCAUGACAAGUUCCCUCAGUGCCUCGAUGCAUUGUAUUAAAUACCUUCCAGAAUCUGGUCCCCCUGGGCCUAAGUUUCCAUUUUUGAAACAGAAACAACACUUUCCUUCCUCAGAUGGAAUGUUGUAAGGACACAGUCUGUAGAAAUUAUGAAGUGCUUCAAUACUGUGGAGAGAAGAAACGAACUGUGUUGGUCUGAAGUUGUGCAGAAGGCAAGCUGCUAUGGAGUAUUGGGAACUCACAAAUAGAGGGGUUAAAACAGAAGUGACAAUUUUUGCCUGAUCUGGCCACAGAAAGCAGUUUAUAGCUGUGACCAAACACAAGUACACAGCUGCAGACAGCUUAAAAAAUGACUGAUUGGGUGAAAAUCUGACCCCUCAUUGCAAGAGGUAUUAGAUGAAGACGUUUCAAAAUGUAGUGUCUUCUUUAAGUUAUAUCCAAGGACCACCUAGCCUGUCGCUGUUUUUAAAAUGGGAAAGGGAGCAGAGCAAGUUCAUUCAGGUUUUUUCA